Non-coding RNA from Candidatus Pacearchaeota archaeon CG1_02_32_21, 72 nucleotides. The record is from Rfam. NCBI's taxonomy places the organism in Archaea, Nanobdellati.
GCCUCCAUAGCUCAAUGGUAGAGCGGCAGUUUUGUAAACUGUAGGUUGAGGGUUCAAUCCCCUCUGGAGGCU